UACGGAGGGGGCGAGCGUUAUUCGGAAUUACUGGGCGUAAAGGGCUCGUAGGCGGCCAACUAAGUCGGAUGUGAAAUCCCCAGGCUCAACCUGGGAACUGCAUCCGAUACUGGAUGGCUUGAAUCCGGGAGAGGGAUGCAGAAUUCCAGGUGUAGCGGUGAAAUGCGUAGAUAUCUGGAGGAAUACCGGUGGCGAAGGCGGCAUCCUGGACCGGCAUUGACGCUGAGGAGCGAAAGCUAGGGGAGCAAACGGG
This 253-nucleotide ribosomal RNA is filed under the name uncultured bacterium. RNAcentral's name for it is "partial 16S ribosomal RNA". It matches the Rfam family "Bacterial small subunit ribosomal RNA", at positions 524 to 776 of the family's 1533-position model. The record is from RNAcentral.